AUCUUGGGAAGCUACACGUCUUUACUUAUAUCUUAGUAAAAAUGAAACAGAAUAAAGUUGAGAACAGCUUUCACCUGUGCUCUACUACUUCACUUUCUAGAGAUGCACUGUAUCCUUUUCAAAUUAAAUGCGUCCUUCUCUCUAGAAAAAUUUGCAGCGUAUUUGAAAACCCAAGUAGUCAGUGACAUUUUCCUGUCCUCAGCCUGUGAUGGAGUAGUAACCUCCAACCUCUUGCACAUCCACUUGAUUUUUCAAGGGCUUCAAUUGGAUACUCAAAAGCUGUAGAGCCAUUGAUUAUCAUUUGACUUAUUGUGAGUAAAAUUAUAUUUGUUUUUACUGUAUCCUUCAAACAGGUGAGCUAAGCAGUGACGUGUGGCUGUUUACUCGUUUCUGUAUAAAAGGUUAACCCUUGCCUCAACGAAGGAUUAAAGCUCUGAAUUCUUCUAUUCCUAGCCCUGCCUAAGAAUUCUUUUGUGGUUUAUGUGUAUGACCUGUUACUAUAAAUACAUGCAAAGUAUUGUAUUAUUUAAUGCUACUAUCUAGUCCUAUUUUCAGCACUAUGAUUGAUGCAUGCUGACAAUUCAGUUUUGUGCUGAUUUCUCCAAAAGCAGUAGCACUGCUGCCAUUGUGUGGGCACCCAGCUGGGGUUGCGUUAAGCAGGCGAUCUACUGCAAAAAUAUUCUUACAGUCGAGCCAGUGACAGGUAGGAACAAAGGAAACAUAGCUCUAAAUGUUGAGUUCCUGACAACAACUUUUUUCACCCAGGUUUCUAGGCUUCAGCAUCCUCACUACUAAGAAAAAUAAAAUGCUGAUUAUCCCUUUAAGGGUAAAGCACUAAUAUACAAGAUCCAAUUACCUCUGUCUAAGCUGAUACGCCUACAGCACCUUUUACAUAACCCAAACACUUGAGUUCCAAUUAUACAAUUAUAUUUUAACAUGUAUUAAGUUCUAUUCCUUUAGGGAGGAGACUUAUAGUGAAUAUUUUAACUAAGCUCCUUCCUCAGCGCAGACUUAUAUUGCAGGGUCUCAGUUCACUACAGUGCCAAAGACACGUUUUUUUUUAUCUCGGUUCUUUUCCUCUCGAGUACACCAGCUGGCUCUUCAGAAAACACAUUUUCUGUGUUUACAGUACUGACAGCAGUACUUAUACAUUUCACAACUGUAGCUUAUAAAGCUAAUGUUGUUGGGGUCAGUAGCUGCACUGUAACUGCAAUUAGAUCAAUAAUGCUUCCACAGUGCCAGUAUCUUUUCUUUGCGUGCAAUCUAUGACAAGAUCCAAUUCUCUAGAGGAAGCAACAUGUUCAGAAGUGGAGAAAAGGCUAAGAUAGUUUGUUUUUCAUUUGGUUUGCUGUUUUUCUUUUAUCCACUAUGCCUUUUUCUAGUGAUUGAUAGUACGGAAAAUUGAAUUUCCCCUUAGAGUCAUUGAACUAUAGAAUCAUCAGGUUUGGAGAAGACUUUCAAGAUCACCAACUCCAACCAUCAAACUGACCUACUGAGUCUCAUCACUAAACUAUGUCCCUUAGAGCCAUGUCUGUGGGUCUUAUAACUUCAUCCAGGGCUCGGACUCUACCAUUGCCCCGGGUAGCUCAUUCCAAUGCUUGACUGCUCUAAAUGAAGAAAUUCUUCCUAAUGUCCGAUCUAAACCUCACCUAGCACAACUUAAGACUAUAUAUCCUCACUUUCCUUGCUUCCUAUCUCUUGUCACCUGAGAAAAGAGACUGAUACCUCUUUGUUGCAACUUCCUUUCAGGUAGCUGUAAAGACUGAUGGGGUUUCCCCUUGGCCUCCUCCAUACUUUUCACUUUAGUGAAAAGGCAGAUUACUCCAAUGACCACUAUGAUUUUCUGGUAUCUUCAUGAAACUUCUGUAAUGCCCAAGAGCCUUGGUCUGCAGGGAAGACUUUGAGGAAGGCUAUUUGCUGCACACUUUUAAUCGUUCCCAUCAAUGAGGUUUGUAGGUCAGCACCUCUGAAAACCCAGAGCCUAAGUUUAGGCUGAGGAGCCUGUACUGCUACAUUCAGAAGUACCUUGAGGUUUCUUAACAUACAAAGAAAACUGGUACUUGGCCUGAAAGGAGAUGGGAGAAGAUGGGAGAAGAAAAGUGAUGAACCAAGAAAAAAGGAGUGGAAGACAAUGGUGAUAAGCAAGGCUAGCUAUUGCUAAUGCUUCUCAUGUAGAUUAGUGUGUGUGACAAUGGCUGCUUGUGAAGGAGAAGUAUCAGGGCUCAAACUAUUCUGCUUCCUCCUAACUCUCAACAUCACCCCAUGUCAAAAACUGGCAUAAUCUAGGUUGCAGUUGCAUAGCUUGUGCUGAGUUCCGUGGUGCUUCAGAGGUUACCUUAUCAGCAGCUGAACCACCUGGUGUAAAACUGACACAGCUAUUUCUGUAUCAUACUGUAGUUAUUCCUGAUUCUGAAUUAUGUGUAAAAUAUCCCAUUAGAAAGCCAAGUUUUGAAAACACUGAAUAAAACUACUUCACUGGGCUCUAGUAUUCACCUAUCAAAUAAACUAGCUUCCUAAACACCUAAAGAAAGUGUGAACACAACAAAUUACAAGGUAAAAAUGAAGUGUUGAAACAUUAGAUAUGAGCUAUUUUAAUUAAUAAUUAUUAUUAUAAUUUUAAAUGUAUUUUAAAAACCCCAAAAUCUGAAGGUAAUGUUCCCAUGGCAACCUUAGCUCUAUCUCCCAUGUGCAGUAAAUGUGUAUGUAUGUUUGUGUAAAAGAGGAUCAUUCAUUACCAUGGUUGUGAUCAGAAUGAUUUAGGACUUGCUGAUCAGCAACCUGUUAAUCAGACCAGAAAUCUCAUCUUUGAAAGUGGCUUAUUUCUAAUAUUUCUCUAGCCAAGUGUUGCAACGUAGAGGUGAUGCUGAAUUUCUGUCCAGUCUGAUAAGUACUCAUGCUAAGAUAGUAUGUCUGAACAAUCCAUAUCUUGUCAUAAAUCUGAUCUAUCACUUUCCAAAUUUAGCUACUUUCCAUGACAGACACCCUGCAGUCAUGUAUCCCAUCACUUAGUAAGUUGAAAUUUGAAUAUUUUUUUUUCUGAUGAACUCACUCACUAGUAUCAAACACUUCAUUAUGUGUACACCACACUUUGAUGCACACUUAACAUUGUAAAAUUGAUUUCAACCAUGAUGUUUUUUUAGAAGAGUUGAGCAUAAUUUGCCAAUGUGCCAGGGUUUACAAAGGAUGCAGUAGUCUGGUGACAGAGCUAAAUUGUCUCCAGUCCUCUCAAAUCACCUUAACGAAUGGCAUUUCCAGCACGCAGUGUUAUGCAAUGGUCCAUCCCUUAAUUUCUUCAUCUGCAUCUCCCACAUCUCCCAUAAUUAAGUUUCUCCAAAAGGUGCACAUCAGUCAUGAGAAAAUGUCUCUCAGAAAUGCAGGUCUUAGCAAGCCAAAGGGACUGAUGACUGGUGUUCAGCUCCUAGUCUGUGGCAGGGGAGUUGGAGCUCAAGAAUCUUUAUAGUACCUUCCAACCUAAGCCAUUCUAUGUUCAAUAAUUCUAUGAUUUUAUGAUCAGAAAGAGGGAGGUGUUUACGGCUGGUGCGGGGAGGGACCAGCAGCUGUAUGGCAUUCAAGCUACUUUGUUCAGGCAGAAUGAAUAAGGGAAAGUGAUGUGAAAAAAGCACAUACUAUAUUCUUGUGAAAUGUGCCUAGAUGGUAAAGGCAUUAAAGGAUACUGUUCAUUUUUAUUGCUGUCAUGAGAUACAGUGAAUGACACAUUCACGGUAGUAAUCUUUACAAGUAUUAUGUAAAGUACUCCUUCGAAAUGUAGCUUUUUUUUUCUCUCUCUCUUUUUUUCUUUUUUUCUUCUGCCAUUGUUGCCCUGUAACUAUUUUCAGUGACAUAAUUCUUAAGGGUACUGGUUCAGAAAGAGGAUUAAUACUUCAGAGGACAAACUGAGGGUGUCUUAUUUUUCUUAUACAAUAAAUACACAUCUCUGAAUCCUUUGAAUAUGAGCAUAUUCUUGCUGAGCUGUUGUAUAAAAUCAAAGCAAAAAACAUAUAUAGAUAAAAUAAGCAUAAUAUAAGCAUAAUGUUUGAAUAAAUAUAUUCUCAGCAGACUCAGAAAGUAAUAUGAAGAUUUGCAGGCUUUCAAAAUCUCAAAGCUAUAAACCUAAAGAUAGAGGAAAUAAGAAUCCAUUGUAUUUAAGAGCUAUAUGUAUGCAAAGGAGAUAUAAGCAUAUAAGCAUAUAAGAAUUCAUCUAAAGAGAACUGAGAAAUAUCGGGAAAGAAACUUCAUUCUAUUCUGUUGUCAUUUGAGGAAUUAAAUGUUAGAACAAUUAUAUUUAGGACUGCCUUUGAACAGAGGCUCUCUUUUAAAUUUAGGAAAGCUGGACCUACUGAGAUAGAGCAAUUAUUUCUAUUUUUUCCUAUGAGUCAUGAGGUCAAAGUUUAAUGCUUAGCAUCCUGCUAAAUUUAAACAACAUAAAGAUUUCCUGCCAAUGUAUUUCUGAAUUUGUGUAUCUUAUUUAUUUAGAUAUAGCACAAAAUCUAAAACAGAUGUUUAUGCUCCUGAAGGCCCUCAGAAAUGCAGCACAGUUACAGUCCCCAAAUGUAUUUAUUGUAAUUGCAUUUCUUUUCUUUGUAGCAACAUUUGUUUUAUUUUCCUAUAAAGAAUGCUUCAAAAUUUAGUGUUAAAAAAGGUAAGGUGUAUUUGAAAUGGGUCUCAUGAUAGAUCUUAUUUCAAUUAGUCCUCUUUGAGACAUCCAGUGAAUGUCUGUGUUCACAUGAGUAAGACAGCCUCUGCGUCAUGGGAGGUAACGUUAGAUUUGUUUCAUUAUUUCCAGCUAGCUGAAACCAGUUGUAAUCUAAAAAUGACCCCUCACAAGCACUGUUGAACUAAGGGAUUGCUGAUGGUUUGUAGAAAGUGUUAAAAGGAACACAGAAAAUACACAAAAGAGGAGUGUGAAGCACUUCAAAGCCAGCUUCACUGGGGAUGAAAUUCUCCAGGAAGGCAGAAGACACUGAAAACAACACCUUUAGUUUUGCAGGUAGUGAAUGCCAACAGAGAGCAACUUCUUUUCUUACAAUACCGGGUUUUGAAAUACUUGAUAUGGUUGAUAGUUCUCACUGCCUCAGGAAAAGAGACUAUAAAACUGAAGUAAAGAAGACUGAGGAAUGGUUUAUAUCCCAUAAGCUCGCAAUAUCAACUGUAGUUUUAAUCAGAGAAAUAAAAGAUUGAAGAAACUCUAGGAAUGAAGAGCCACUUAGCAUUGCUGGAGGAUUGUCUGAGAUGAUAGACCAUGUCCAAACGUGUAUUGAGAUGCAUCUGUAGUCUGCUAUGCAGCCUACACUGCUGAUCUUUUUCACGUGUGCCACAGACACAUAAUGACUGUGUAUUUUGUAUUGUACCCAGUAUUUGUUUUCUCACAGCCAUUCAACUGCAGCUAUUCCAAGAGCACGUCAAAUCUUCCUGUAUCAAAAAGUAGUGGAGAAGGGAUUCUUAUCCCAAGAAAGCUCAUAAAGGCCAAGAGGAAGAGAAUCCCACAGGUAGAGGCCUUCAGCUGGGACCUUUCCCUGAAAUGGAAUGGACUAAUGCACAGACAGUAGUGAGAGAACUGAACAAACAAUCAAUACUGUCACUUUAUGUCCACUUCAGAACAAGGAUUGCAAUAUAGCAGCAUGAGACUACAGUAGUUGGAAGGAUUUGAUGUUGCAAAUCAACAGUAUUUGCCCUUGUUCAGACUCCUAAGAGUGAUUACCCUCAAGAAAAUUGACUCAUAUAAGAUAAAGCUACUACAGCUGAAAUCAAGAUCUGAAUCAGAGACUCCAGGCAUUCCCUGGUGCCAGUACCAUUAGGAACUGACAGCCUGUCACCGCCCCUGUUAACAGUUUGGCACUGUAAAGAUAAGCCAC
RNAcentral lists this long non-coding RNA (5852 nucleotides) under Gallus gallus (chicken). The record is from RNAcentral. Lineage: Eukaryota; Metazoa; Chordata; Aves; Galliformes; Phasianidae.